GGGACCUAGGGCCUCAGGAAGUGAGCAAAUCAUCCUAAGGUGCAAGUAAGCACCAAGGAAAGGGCAAGGCUCAGGAUACAGCAUGGUGCUCAAGUAGAAAAGCCUCCAGCCAGUAAAUCACUGUUCCUUGAAAACGUCCCAGUCUCGGGGACUAAGACAGUGCCUGAUUCUGCCUGGGAGAAGAGAGUGGUGAAGAAACAAGGGAAGAGGAUCACAACGAAUAUCACAAAGGAAGAUAAGCGACCCCGACUUAGAGGUAACCUGUACCUGGCCUGGACAAGAGAAGAGGACUCAGGACCCCAGGAUAAGGGAUCUUCAGGGACCUCCAGUGACACAGAAGCCUCCAGCCACUGUCCUAAACCUUUGACCACCUGGAUUCCAGGAGAAAUGGACACCUUAGAACUGAGGCCACCCAGAAGGACAGUCCUUUCCUGGGAACAGAGCCAUCCCUUAGCUAUGAGGACCUAUGGUUCCAGGACUGAGUGAGUAAUGACUGACCAGACCCCAGCCCACCAGCUUCCUCUGGAAAAGCUGGCUUCUGCUUCUGCGAGUGGAUCAGACUGUGCCCCCUCCUGCUCCCUAGGCUUGGGACCUUUCCUGUGUUCCCUCUAACUUUCCAAUUUCAGCCUUUCCCCUCUAAGUCUGUGCUUUAAUUUUAAUUUCCAUUUCUACUAAAGCAAGGAAGGACCCAUGCUAGCUAGUGACUCAUUGACCUAGGACACACCAAUGUGGCAGGCAGAAUUUUAAGA
Long non-coding RNA from Fukomys damarensis (Damara mole-rat), 749 nucleotides. RefSeq lists it as uncharacterized. The transcript has 3 exons. NCBI's taxonomy places the organism in Eukaryota, Metazoa, Chordata, Mammalia, Rodentia, Bathyergidae. The record is from RefSeq and is a predicted model, not a curated record.